Molecule: non-coding RNA, 46 nt
Organism: Schistosoma mattheei
Lineage: Eukaryota; Metazoa; Platyhelminthes; Trematoda; Strigeidida; Schistosomatidae
Source: Rfam
GCACUGCUGAUGAGUCUCAUAUUAGGACGAAACGGUCGUCCAGUGC